Molecule: long non-coding RNA, 663 nt
Organism: Ceratitis capitata (Mediterranean fruit fly)
Lineage: Eukaryota; Metazoa; Arthropoda; Insecta; Diptera; Tephritidae
Exons: 3
Source: RefSeq, a predicted model, not a curated record
UUUUGAUUAUUACACCGAAAUCAAAAACCAAAAUACACGUAAAAGUCAAUUGUUCAUGCUGCAUUUUUGGCAGUCAAUAAUACUCAGUUUAACCAAAAUUUUAAAAUAUUCAAAAACGGAUUCGCACCCAGGGUUUACAGAAUACAAAGUGAUGACAACCGUCGACGUCAUGGAACCAACUUCAUCAUACUUGUAUACAGAUUGGGCGGAACUUGAAAUCUAUAUUAAAAAUAAAUAUUUUUUUCUUCAUAAAAUCUAUAUUAUCAACGGCACUGCAGUCACAGAUUUAGCGAUUGCAAGGUGGAAGGUGUUUGCUGUUUUGAUCAAACCAUGGUGACCGAAGACCAACAAAUUUGAAUAUGAGCUUUACACAAAGCAAUGCUUCAUCUCUGCUCAAUAUUACUAACUAUCCGAUGCAUUCAAGUUUCCGUAAUAACAAAAUUUCAAGUUUUUAACCAAAAAAUUGGAUGUUUAAAUUUAUAAAAUGGGCUGUUAACGAGUAUACUGCCAUAUUUGGAAUAAUUAGUAUAAAUCACUCACACAAUUUUUUUUUUUAAUUUUGGUCCACAAUAACCCACGGCUUCGAAGUUUUAAACACGAUUUUUUUAACGAAAUAUGUAUUAUCCAUUUCUCAAAGGCUUUUUAGCAGACGAGGAAAAUAUG